UCCUCAUCACAUUCUCUAUUCAUGCCUUGUCUUCUGCCUAGUUCUAGUUACAUUCUGUUCUUCCGUUCUGUAUCCAUUUCUUCUAUGUGUGUGUAUCUUUCUGCUGGCAUGUGCACAUUCACAAACCACCCAUCACUCACAUGAAUGUGUUUUCCCGUGGCUAACCUAUGCAGUGUGCUUUUUCUGUGAAGUCCUAUCUUGAGAAAAGAAGCCAGUGUGAGAACAGCUAGGUCCUUCCAAGAACAGUACAAGGUCCUCCCAAGAUCUGAAGAGAGGGAGUUAACCUGCCAGGGAGAUUUCAGGCAGUGAUCACUUCUCAAGGGAGCAGAAAGCCAGAAAACUGCAAUGAGCAAAGGAUCUGAAGUAUCGGUGGCUGGUGAGCAGUGUUAGUCUGUGUGGGCUGGAGUGAGUCUUUAAGGGGGCUUAGCUUGGAUUUUGGGAAGGUGUGAGCCAGGAAGUGGGUACUCUGAAAUGGUAUGGGGAGCCAGUCUUUCAUGCUUGGAUCAAGGAUGGCUUUUAUUUUGCAUCCUGAAACAAAGGCUUCAUGUCAUACAACAGGGAAAAUAGGUGAAAACAUUGCAGCCUCGAGUACACUGUUCAUGUGAUUUCUACUGCUGUAUCCUUAUGCAUUUCUUGGCUUCCUGUCAUUCGUAUCUCAGUCACGUAUUUCACUGACACUGAGUCUUACCUGUUGAGAAAGACUAGAGGCAUCCUUAAGCCGUGAACUGGUUUAGAACUGAUUUCAUGUAUAGUUGCCCUUCCUAAUACAGCUGCAGUGACAUUUUCCUCUUCAUAUAGGUGUCUGGUGGAUACAUACCUGUGAAGUGCAGCAUGGAAAAUAUUCAGAUGUGUGUUGCUUAAGAAAAUCAUCAAUAUUUAAUUCCUACACAGUAAUUCCUACACAGACACAUUCAGUUAGCAGCGUCCAGAGACACAAAAGUUUUUUUUUCUUUUGUUUGCCAUGGGAUUUGGUUUAUAAUUAUCCUUAUAAUAUAACUCAUGCUGAAGGAAUUGAAUUGGUCUUUUCUCUGUUAUUUUUAAAUAUUACAUACAACCAAUCAGCAAUUAAGCAUUUUUUCUUUCUUUUACAGAUUACAACAAAAUCCUCUUUUUUCUGUCAGAACCAGAGCCAGGGCAACCAGCUGUGAGGAUUUUCUUCUAUGUAAAGGAAAUUCUAUGAAAACCAUGCUACUCCUGAAGAUGGGAUACCAAUAAAAUUGCAGAUGUGAUGUGAUACA
Molecule: long non-coding RNA, 1238 nt
Filed under: Anas platyrhynchos platyrhynchos (common mallard)
Lineage: Eukaryota; Metazoa; Chordata; Aves; Anseriformes; Anatidae
Description: lncRNA (ENSAPLG00000025164.1)
Source: RNAcentral